Molecule: ribosomal RNA, 433 nt
Filed under: uncultured bacterium
Lineage: Bacteria
Description: partial 16S ribosomal RNA
Rfam family: Bacterial small subunit ribosomal RNA
Source: RNAcentral
AACGAACGCUGGCGGCAUGCCUAACACAUGCAAGUCGAACGAGACCUUCGGGUCUAGUGGCGCACGGGUGCGUAACGCGUGGGAACCUGCCCUUAGGUUCGGAAUAACUCCCCGAAAGGGGUGCUAAUACCGGAUAAUGUCUUCGGACCAAAGAUUUAUCGCCUUUGGAUGGGCCCGCGUUGGAUUAGCUAGUUGGUAGGGUAAAAGCCUACCAAGGCGACGAUCCAUAGCUGGUCUGAGAGGAUGAUCAGCCACACUGGGACUGAGACACGGCCCAGACUCCUACGGGAGGCAGCAGUGGGGAAUAUUGGACAAUGGGCGAAAGGAUGAUCCAGCAAUGCCGCGUGAGUGAUGAAGGCCUUAGGGUUGUAAAGCUCUUUUAACCGGGAUGAUAAUGACAGUACCGGGAGAAUAAGCCCCGGCUAACUCCGUG